Molecule: ribosomal RNA, 659 nt
Filed under: Salmonella enterica subsp. enterica serovar Infantis
Lineage: Bacteria; Pseudomonadati; Pseudomonadota; Gammaproteobacteria; Enterobacterales; Enterobacteriaceae
Description: partial 23S ribosomal RNA
Rfam family: Bacterial large subunit ribosomal RNA
Source: RNAcentral
AGACCCGAAACCCGGUGAUCUAGCCAUGGGCAGGUUGAAGGUUGGGUAACACUAACUGGAGGACCGAACCGACUAAUGUUGAAAAAUUAGCGGAUGACCUGUGGCUGGGGGUGAAAGGCCAAUCAAACCGGGAGAUAGCUGGUUCUCCCCGAAAGCUAUUUAGGUAGCGCCUCGUGAAUUCAUCUCCGGGGGUAGAGCACUGUUUCGGCUAGGGGGCCAUCCCGGCUUACCAACCCGAUGCAAACUGCGAAUACCGGAGAAUGUUAUCACGGGAGACACACGGCGGGUGCUAACGUCCGUCGUGAAGAGGGAAACAACCCAGACCGCCAGCUAAGGUCCCAAAGUCAUGGUUAAGUGGGAAACGAUGUGGGAAGGCCCAGACAGCCAGGAUGUUGGCUUAGAAGCAGCCAUCAUUUAAAGAAAGCGUAAUAGCUCACUGGUCGAGUCGGCCUGCGCGGAAGAUGUAACGGGGCUAAACCAUGCACCGAAGCUGCGGCAGCGACACUCAGGUGUUGUUGGGUAGGGGAGCGUUCUGUAAGUCUGCGAAGGUGGCCUGUGAGGGUUGCUGGAGGUAUCAGAAGUGCGAAUGCUGACAUAAGUAACGAUAAAGCGGGUGAAAAGCCCGCUCGCCGGAAGACCAAGGGUUCCUGUCCAACGUU